Molecule: long non-coding RNA, 3423 nt
Organism: Homo sapiens (human)
Lineage: Eukaryota; Metazoa; Chordata; Mammalia; Primates; Hominidae
Exons: 2
Source: RefSeq, a predicted model, not a curated record
GCGCACAGCCCCUGGGGCCUGGCUCCGAAGCUGCCGCUCCCGACCCCGGCUGCGCGGCACGGGGGCUCCGGAAGCCCGAGUCCCUGGUUCGCCCCCGGAGCGGUUACUUCAGCGAGCUCGUUGCGCGAGCGUUUUGCAAGAAGGGGGCCCAAAAAAGUUGAAAGCCGAGGGUCAGGGAAUGUAAAAGGCAUUGCCCGAGCUGCAAAUGGUGUUCGAUGCUAAGCAGAUGCCAAAUUUCGGUGGAAAAAGUACCACCUCACUCCUCGGCCUUGACAGAUGGCUAAUUUUAAAACUAGCUCAAUCUACUUAGUCCGAAGAAUCCAUUUAAUUUCUCACCAUUCGCUGAGUAUGAAUUUGGUUUAAAAGAAGAAGAAGAAGAAAAAAAAAGCUAGGCCUUUGGGAAGGGCCACAGGAUUGGUACCUGUAAUUCAAGCCAGGAGAGCCUUUGAUAGCCUUAGGAUGGAAGGCUGAGCCUGUCCUCUGCGACACACACCCACCGCGCCCUACCCCUCACCCCCGGGAUUGGGCUUCUGCCAUCUUGCACUGUUUUUUUUUUUUUUUUGAGACGGAGUCUCGCUCUGUCGCCCAGGCCGGACUGCGGACUGCAGUGGCGCAAUCUCGGCUCACUGCAAGCUCCGCUUCCCGGGUUCACGCCAUUCUCCUGCCUCAGCCUCCCGAGUAGCUGGGACUACAGGCGCCCGCCACCGCGCCCGGCUAAUUUUUUGUAUUUUUAGUAGAGACGGUGUUUUACCUUGUUAGCCAGGAUGGUCUCGAUCUCCUGACCUCAUGAUCCACCCGCCUCGGCCUCCCAAAGUGCUGGGAUUACAGGCGUGAGCCACCGCGCCCGGCCCAUCUUGCACUGUUAAGCCUCACAUCCGUUCUCUGGUUCUUACCCCUGACUACAAGGGAGUGCCCCAAAGCAGGGAUCUUGUCUUAGCCUUGGGCCUGCUACACAGAAGUAGCAGAGUGGCUGUCAAAAUACAGCACCUCAUUAACUCUCAAAUAUUUACUAAGCACUAUGUGCCCUGGAGAUUGAGUAAUGCCAAGGCCCCUGCUCUCAUGAAGCUUACCUUCUAGGACAGAACUAGACAACUCACAAAUACAUAAAGUGGAGUAAAUAUAAAGUAAGAAAGUGAAGGAGUCGCUAUAGUAUAAAGAAUCUGCAGAGAAGGCUUUGCUGACAAGGUGACAUCUUGAGAAAAGAAUGACAAGAGUAAGUCACCCAGAUAAUCCUGUUGUCUAUGGCAUCUUGGGCCCUCAGCUGCCUCACAUGAAAGCAAAAGAUAAGGACACCAACCCCAGGACCUGGCUGUUAUGUUGAGUUCACUGAUGAUGGAAGAGAAAGUGCUUUGUGCACAGGAAAGCCAUUAGAAAAGUGUGAGAUGUUCACCUCCCUCUAUUGGCUGUACUGAACCUGCACUGUGCCUCCAGCGAGAUGCUCAUCAAUGUCCUCUAAGAGGCCAUGCUUCAGCUAACAAGGGUUCCAGCUAAUUAAAGGGAAAUUUUGUAAGGGGAAUGUCCAUAAAUAAAUAUUCUUCCCUGGCAAAGGGAAGUUGAGAAGUCAACUUCAAAACACAUUCUUUAAAAAAUUAGUAAAUAAAUAAACAGGCACCCACUUUGUCCUCAUUAGCACUUUAAAAGCUUGGUUUGGGACACACCAAGUUUGAAGUUCAGAGGAGACAGCCAGAUGAUGAUAGCAGACAGCUGAAGAUCCAUACCUGGAGGUCACUUGCUCAUGUGCCAUAGUUGACAGAACAUGGUCUUUUGAAGUAUGAGCUACCCAGGAGAAAAUCCUACCAUCCUUCCCCACAUACUAACCAAGUCACUCUGCAUCUGGAAAAUUCUGUGACUUGGAACAAAUAUGGCCCAUGCUAGUUGAGCUAAUUAAGCUCUCUGAGACUCAGUUACCCCAUGGAGCACUGACAACACACGGCACUUAGGCUUCACUCCAAGAAGGCCUUCCUUCCUCUAGGCUGGAAACAAUUUCAGACUUGGAUUCUUGCAUUUAUUUUGUUCUCCCAUCUAUUCCAGGUAGUCGUCUAGCACCUGUCACCUCCACUGAGGUGGUGGUUCCUUCCAUCUUCUUCAUCUGGCAUUAUAGUAAAGACUCAAUAAAUAUGAGCUGUUAUUAAAAGCCAAAAGUCAGUGUUUAAUUGCCUCAAUUCCAAGAGGCCCUGGGUUCCAGAGUUUUCCCUCCUAGUAACUGAUGCUGUCAUCUUGGGCCUUAGUGCUAUCCUUUGUAAAAUAAAGGAGUGAGUGUGUCAAAAUGACCACAGAUUCCUCCCAGCAGGAGCCGACUUGUGUAUACAGUCAGCUCUGGAGAUGCAAAGAAGAAAGAUUAUUACAACAAGCUAAGCUAACUGCAAUGGUAGACAGCUGGGGAUUUCUUUCUUGACUGAAUUCACCAAAGACUCCAAACUGCUGCCAUCAAUUGCUGUUUCAGUUUCAUUUGAAGAUUAUGUUAUGUAUCUGCUCCUCCCCCAUCUCCUUUGGCCAAGAAAGGAAUAUGCUCACAAUGAGAUAUUGUGCUUUGGUAAGUAUAUACCUCCUCAGACUGGUCUGCAAUUACAAUUUCAAAGGUUCACACCUCUACUCACCAUUUCUGGGCCAUAAUCCUCUUUAAAUUUGAAACCAUGCCUCAGUGAAAACCAUCUGCACCUCUCAUUUUCUCAAAUACUCUGAAAAUCAUUCCUGGAUAUCUGAAAGCAAAUAGAGACUGACAUGGGCAAAACGUAAAUGCUGGAUUUCUUUGUGUGGAGCUGCCCCGAAAUAUACACCAUCCUCCCCAAAGCCAGGAAAAAUGUGCGCACACACAUAUUUGUGUGCACCUGGCUUUAUAUAAAGCAAGCAUCAUCUCUGUUGUCGCCAUUAUAAUAAGACUGUUCAGCACUCUUGUCCUCCUCAUGCCUGCCUCUUACUCUGAGCACUGCUGACUGAGGUUUCUAACACCAUGAUUAUGGCAGGAUGCACUUUGUCGCCUUGAAAAAAAGGCAGCAGGAACAGUGGUGGCUUAUUCUUCUGAACAGCAAUGGCGCUAACGACCCACUUGCCAUCAGGGAAUUGGCUCUCAGUUACAUUUCCAGUUGCAGACCUCACUCUCAUCCAUCUGUCUUAUAACCAAGGGGGGAUGCAUUUGCAAGAUGACUGACCAGAAACCAGAGGUGGGGGAGUGUGGGUGGGGAGUCAGAGGUGCUCUGUGGGCCCAAGAAACCACAAGGAGCUUUGAUCCACAGUGUUAGCCAGCGACAGCAUUCAUCACAGGCUCCCGAUGCCCUCAUGGAAUGACGACAAUGGCUAAAGUGGGAAGGGAACACACUUUUUAUUACAUGGACCUGAGCUUAAAACUCUACUUUCUUGUUUAUUCACCUUCUUUUCUAAACUAUGUUUCAGAUUAUUGUGUGAAAUAAAAUGAGAAAAUAUGGA